AUUGCAGCCUGCAACUCGGCUGCAUGAAGCUGGAAUCGCUAGUAAUCGCGGAUCAGAAUGCCGCGGUGAAUGCGUUCCCGGGUCUUGUACACACCGCCCGUCACACCAUGGGAGCCGGGAAUGCCCGAAGUCAGCGGCCUAACCGUAAGGGGGAGCUGCCGAAGGCAGGCCUGGUAACUGGGGUGAAGUCGUAACAAGGUAAC
This 203-nucleotide ribosomal RNA is filed under the name uncultured bacterium. Its description in RNAcentral is "partial 16S ribosomal RNA". It matches the Rfam family "Bacterial small subunit ribosomal RNA", at positions 1297 to 1500 of the family's 1533-position model. The record is from RNAcentral.